CCUACGGGUGGCAGCAGUGGGGAAUAUUGGGCAAUGGGCGCAAGCCUGACCCAGCAACGCCGCGUGAAGGAUGAAUGCUUUCGGGUUGUAAACUUCUUUUUUCAGGGAAGAGUAGAAGACGGUACCUGACGUAUAAGCCACGGCUAACUACGUGCCAGCAGCCGCGGUAAUACGGAGGUGGCGAGCGUUGUCCGGAUUUACUGGGUGUAAAGGGAGUGUAGCGGGGUUGAUAAGUCAGAUGUGAAAUCCUGCGGCUUAACCGUAGAACUGCAUUUGAAACUGGUGGUCUUGAGUACUGGAGAGGUAGGCGGAAUUCGUGGUGUAGCGGUGAAAUGCGUAGAUAUCAGGAAGAACCCCAAUGGCGAAGGCAGUUUACUGGACUGCGACUGACAGUGAGGCUCGAAAGUGUGGGGAGCAAACAGGAUUAGAUACCCCUGUAGUC
This 442-nucleotide ribosomal RNA is filed under the name uncultured bacterium. RNAcentral describes it as "partial 16S ribosomal RNA". It matches the Rfam family "Bacterial small subunit ribosomal RNA", at positions 338 to 795 of the family's 1533-position model. The record is from RNAcentral.